This 375-nucleotide ribosomal RNA is filed under the name uncultured organism. RNAcentral describes it as "partial 16S ribosomal RNA". It matches the Rfam family "Bacterial small subunit ribosomal RNA", at positions 527 to 896 of the family's 1533-position model. The record is from RNAcentral.
GUAGGUGGCAAGCGUUGUCCGGAAUUAUUGGGCGUAAAGCGCGCGCAGGCGGGGUCCUUUAAGUCUGAUGUGAAAGCCCACGGGCUCAACCGUGGAGGGUCAUUGGAAACUGGGGGACUUGAGUACAGAAGAGGAAAGCGGAAUUCCAAGUGUAGCGGUGAAAUGCGUAGAGAUUUGGAGGAACACCAGUGGCGAAGGCGGCUUUCUGGUCUGUAACUGACGCUGAGGCGCGAAAGCGUGGGGAGCAACCAGGAUUAGAUACCCUGGUAGUCCACGCCGUAAACGAUGAGUGCUAAGUGUUAGGGGGUUUCCGCCCCUUAGUGCUGCAGCUAACGCAUUAAGCACUCCGCCUGGGGAGUACGGCCGCAAAGGCUG